AGUAUAUUUUAUUUUUAAUUUAAUUUAAUUUUAUUUUAAUUACCUUGAUAACGGUAGUAGGUAUAACUACCGAAACGUUGGUUCAAAUUAGGUAUUUUUAAAAAAAAGUAGGUCUUCUUGUUGUUUUUAUCGUUUUUUAAUUGUAAUAUUCAUAACAAAGUUAGGUAGGAUAUUGAAAAGAAGAAACGAGCUUAGAGAUUAAUAGAUUGAACCUCAGCUCCUAGGUAUAUAAAAAAUUUAUUAUACCUCAAGUAAACUAUUGUAUUUAAAACUUAUUGAACUUAAAUUAAAUUAAGUAUAUCGAACGGUAUCGUUACAGAUUUAAGUUCAUAUUUCUAUUAAAUACGUUAAAAAGUCUAUUUUCUUCUUCUUUUCAAUUUUUGAGUGUGUGAGAUAAAAAUUUCUAAAUUGAUUUUUGCUAUAAGUGACGUAAUACCCAAUAUAAUAAAUAACUCAUUAUGUAUGUUUUAGUUAGUAAGCAUUUUGGGGUUUUGAUUAUAUUGAAUUACUAUUAACAAUAGACAUAGUAUUUUACCUUAAAACAAAAAUGAACAUACUUCUAAAUUAAUGAAAAACCCUUAAUCAAUACCUUUUUAUCACAUGGCGACCCUGCCUUUUGAACCAUAUAGUAUAGUAAAGUAAAAGUGAUUAAAGAAAAAUGGGAAAAUCACAGAGCAAGGAGGAAAUUAUAAUAGCUCAAGCAGGAAAUAGUGGUGGACAAACCAAUAGUCCCAGCACACAUGUUUUUGGCUCGAUCCAGGAUAUUUUAAUCAUUGCUAUUUUUGGGCUUUUGGCACUGUUCCUUGGGUGGUUUUUAUAUACAAAAGUAAAGAAAACGAUGCUAAGAAGGAUGCGUGCAGAAAUAAGAGAGGAAAUUGGAAGAAGCCGAGAACGAGUCUAAAGGGAAGACUUUUAGGAAACAUUUUAGGUUUUUUUUUCUUUUAGGUUGCAAAAGAAUUAUUGUUCAAUACACCAGUAUUUAUGACUAAUAUAACAUGGAAUGUCGGUGCCCACGGAAUUUAUAUAUUUACUAGAUGAAGUUAAGGUAUUUAAGAGGAAUUUAAUAAAGAACAAUUUAAAAAAGAGACAAAAGGAGAAAUAUAACCUACGUUAAGUCAUGAUAUCAAAAUAGAGUCCUCAACUUUCCAUUUUUCCAGUGAAGAAACAUUUGAGGAAUGGUUAAGAGAGCAUAGAAUAAGCACAAACUAUGCACUUGUUCGCACAAGGAAAAUUGAAGACAAGAUUAAAAAAGUAUAUUGUUGCAAUCGAAGUGAUCUUAGAGGUAAUUUGUAGCAAUUUCAAUUGUUCAUUAUGGUAUGUGAGCAAAGGAAGGGAAGCGAUUCUGUUUUAGGUGAACUCCUCGGGCAAUGUUCUUUCAAUAAUAUUGAAGCUAGCCAUAGUCUAGAAGUUGAAACAUUUGUUAAUGAAAAGACAACUAAAAAUCAACAAGUAGCAGUACAACGAUUGAACAAGCAAUCAACAAGAGAAAUUGAAAGUGUAUCAAACUUUUUAAGAUCUUUAAAUGAUGAAACUUAUGAUAAGUGCAUGAGACAACUGACAUCAAUGAUGGAACAGAUAAAUAAUACAAAUACACAAGUAAACGAAAAAUGGACAAACAGGUUUAUUUUCCAUCAAAGAAGAAGAAGGAGCAGUAAAUAAAAAUAAUUAAAUGUAUAUUUUUUCUAUUUAUCAGUAUUUUUUUUUAUAUAAUAGUAGGUAUAUUUUUAUAGGUUUAACUAUAUAUGUAUGUAUAUGUGUAUUAUAAUUUUUUAUGUAAGUUUUAGGCAAAUAUUUGAAGUAAAUAUUUUAAGUUUCUUGCAGUUUCUUCUUAUGAGUAUUAAUCGAAACUGCGAAUUGUAAAUUAGUAUUUUAGCAUAAAAUAAUUAAGUUUCUUUUCAAAUCAGUCAUAAACAUGUCUUUGCAGCAUUUAUAAAAUAAAAAUUGUUAAUAUAUGAUA
Long non-coding RNA from Anthonomus grandis grandis, 1957 nucleotides. RefSeq lists it as uncharacterized. NCBI's taxonomy places the organism in Eukaryota, Metazoa, Arthropoda, Insecta, Coleoptera, Curculionidae. The transcript has 3 exons. The record is from RefSeq and is a predicted model, not a curated record.